Molecule: RNA transcript, 1413 nt
Organism: Schistocerca serialis cubense
Lineage: Eukaryota; Metazoa; Arthropoda; Insecta; Orthoptera; Acrididae
Gene name: mpv17-like protein 2
Exons: 2
Source: RefSeq, a predicted model, not a curated record
CAUCUAUGACGGCUACAGUUGACAUAAACAGAGUGCACGUGUUUGAAGUGCAUGUUAUAGACAGUACUGCCCGUGUGAUUAAUGUGCGAAACAACGAGAUGUUUCGUAAUAGUCGUCCUAUAAAGUUUCAGACAAGGAAAACUCAAUUGGAAACGGAUUAAUGGGUAAAUAAGUUGGGAUCGUUGGUGUAUGGGGUAUAAGACACCUCUUCAGCUGCUGGAUCAGAGGAUAGUAGCUCCAGCAACAGUAUUUCACAUGGUUUUAAGGUGCAACCAGGCAGGACUACAAAGUUUCACACAAUUCAGAUUCUGUAGUCAUAUUUUGAUCUUAACUUAAUAAGCCAUAUAUGCAACUUUCCUGUUUUCAGCUGAAACUGUAUGUGAGGAACAAAACGAAACAGCCACUGUUGUGUAUGAGAAUUUUGUUUAAAAUUGUAUGUAAAGAGUAGGGAAUAUGUAUAAGGGAAACAAUUUGUUUAAAGGUUUAAAUUCCCUGAUAUCAUAGUUAAAAUUGAGUAUGAUAUAGAAAACUAAACCAUACAUUUUCAUAGCAUAGCGUUUUAUUUUUAUUUCUCUUAUUUUAUUUUGUUCCUAAGCUUUUGGUUUUAACAGAAAACCUAUACAGUGUUAUUUAAAAAGAUAUAUAGUCUAUGUCCAUCUGAAUGUUUGUUAGAAUAUUGUACACAAAUUAAAAGGAAAUUAAUCCAGAACUUAUUAACUUUUUGCCAAAAAUGUGUGCCUAUGCAUCAAGUAUAUAGUAUAUAUUUAAAACUAUAUAGUCAGUUGCUGUGCAGAUAAAAAUUUGAAGUAAAUCAGUGAAGAACAUUCUGAGAUUUUUGCUGGAUGUGGACAUAUGUCCUAUUCCAAAUGGUUUCCGAGAUAGAACACUUUUAAUGUACAUUUCUGUAAUUUUCUGUAUUAUUCAUUGUCAUUGCUUACAAUGUACCAUAGUAAUAUAGAGGAAGUUGAGACGAGCAUUUUGAUACAGGAUGCUUGUGGUCUAACAAGUCGGAAAACUGCCUCAAAUUGGCCUACAAAAAGUACCUAAGCUACAGAGCACACGCCUCGCGCAAGAUUUUCAAUAUUCCUGUGAUCUCUCUGCGCAAACUAUUAGUCCUAGACAAAAAAUAAGUAGGACCUUUUUUGUAGAAAAUUUAAUUCAAUUUAAUUGUGUACUGAGACACAUGUUCAGUGGAAAGUUAUCAAAGAAAAGUUAUUAAAGAAAAACACACAAAAGUGAUAUAAAACGUGCUCUAUCUCGGAAACCGUUCGCAAUAGGGCAUAUGUCCAUAUGAAGUUUUUUUGUUCAGAAUCACUAAUGCUAUUGUGUCUUGAAGCAUGUACCUUUCCUCUUGACUCGCGCUGUGCGCGUGCGUGCACGCAUCUCUCUCUCUCUCUCUCUCUCUCUCUCUCU